Long non-coding RNA from Nomascus leucogenys (northern white-cheeked gibbon), 1003 nucleotides. RefSeq lists it as uncharacterized. The record is from RefSeq and is a predicted model, not a curated record. The transcript is spliced from 5 exons. Lineage: Eukaryota; Metazoa; Chordata; Mammalia; Primates; Hylobatidae.
UUUUUAAAAACAACUGAACCAAAAAGGUAAUGCCCUAGACUUCUCUUAUUAUGGAUGAUGUGGUACACAUCACAAUUACUGGUUCCAGUUUUUCAACCCUCCCUGAGUACGUGUCUUCUGCCAUGUAACUAACUACAAAAGUUGGAGUGUACCCUACUGCUUCUUGACUAGGGACUUGGACAUUUUUCUUAUACUGGCCAAUGGAAUGUGGGCAGGAAUAGCAGUGUAUCAGCCUAAAUUUUAGAGGUACUGCGUAUUUCUGCUUGUUCUCUUGCACCUGCUGUCAGUAUAAGAAUUUCCUCUGGGUAGUGGCUGCUACUUGUCGUGAGUCCAGGGGAAAACACUAUUGGAGGUGCUUGGACUCUUGAGUCCAAACUGCAAUGAUGUGCCACACUCACCCAGCUGCAUCUGAACUGAAGUGGGGCCGAGCCAAGCCUUGCCUGAGAUCAGCAGACCUUUGACAAUCCACAAAAAUAUUGGUUGAAAAAAAAAAUACACACACUGAAAAUGGCCAGAAUUGGUGAGGAUAAGUAUCUGCUUAGGACACAGAAGUCAAUUACACCCAAACCCUGAAUGGAAUCAGAAUCAGAAUCAGCCAUGCAAUGAGGAAGAAGAAAUGUAAGUUGAGGCCUGUGAUUCCAACAGUUCUCUUUCUGGAAUGGUUACCAAGGAGAAAGUGUCCUGCAAAUCACAGUGUCCAACAGAAUCAACACUGCUAAACACACUCCCACUGGAGUACGGAGAAAGGGGAUCCACAGAAGAGCCUAAUCCUGAACCACUUCCAUGUAUUUGCCCAUCCAUUUCUCCUGUCUGGCCAAUACUCUUCAUAUUCAAAUUCUACCAGUCCUUCAAAGAUCAGAUUAAGUUCCAAAAUUUCAAAAGCCUUCUCAGCCUACUCUUACAGCUUAAUAGUGCACACCAACUUCAAUUAAUUAUAAACUCACUUGUUUCAUUUUAUAUUAUUUAAUAGAAACGUUGGAAUUUAAUCUUGGUGUUUUUUACA